GAGCAUGCACUUAACUAGACUAAGGCUGGAUGAACCAAAUAAAUAAAUCGGCAUAUAUAUGAGGUGAUUGAAAUUUAUGGACUGGAGCUUUAAUACCAUGUUAACUGACUUAACUAACUGAUUUCAAAAACUCAAGCUAGUACAUGCAUGGAUGGCCCCAUAUAAUCAUCGCUAAGGUCAUUUCCCUCUCUAAUAUUGUGGCAUUGUUACCAUUCUCUCAACAAUUACAAGCUAUUGUAAAAGAUAAAAAUAGGGGGGAG
Molecule: long non-coding RNA, 260 nt
Filed under: Elaeis guineensis (African oil palm)
Lineage: Eukaryota; Viridiplantae; Streptophyta; Magnoliopsida; Arecales; Arecaceae
Description: long non-coding RNA (EGUI_LNC010663)
Source: RNAcentral